Molecule: ribosomal RNA, 262 nt
Filed under: uncultured archaeon
Lineage: Archaea
Description: partial 16S ribosomal RNA
Rfam family: Archaeal small subunit ribosomal RNA
Source: RNAcentral
AGGGUGUAAACGCUGCAGACUUGGUGUUGGGAACCCUUCGGGGGUGCUCAGUGCCGGAGAGAAGUUGUUAAGUCUGCUACUUGGGGAGUACGUCCGCAAGGAUGAAACUUAAAGGAAUUGGCGGGGGGAGCACCGCAACGGGAGGAGCGUGCGGUUUAAUUGGAUUCAACACCGUAAAACUCACCAGGGAAGACUGUUACAUGAAGGCCGAGAUGAAGACUCUGCUAGAUUUUCAGAGAGGUGGUGCAUGGCGUCAGUGACU